GUGACUCAGGUAACUGGUAAUAUCAAAUAUGACUUUUGGUUAGAAAAUGCAUGAAACAAGCAACACUGAAAAGUCUGUUAUUUUUUCUAAAUAAACUCUUGCAUUCCUUGGUUACGCAAAUACACGACAACAAUACAAAUCUUGAACAUUCAAAUAUCCAUCAAGAUAGGACUUAUGGAUAAUUCCAGAUGAUUGGGCCAAAUCGGGAUCACUUUGCUGAACAACGUUCCCUUUGACAAAAUCCCGGGACAUGGAAAUCCUCAAGUGUUCCCAUGUUUCAACCAGAGAUUCAAGUUGGUGUAGGGCUGAUGAAUUUUUCCUUCAUUUUCCCAGUUAAACCCAUUCCGAACAGGUUCGGAAUUCUGCAUCUGGUCAGUAUGGAUUCCUACUCAAAUGCAACAACUGAAUCCAUACUGACUGUUCAGGAGUCCGAAUCAAAUUCCGAACGGUUUGACCGGGUUGGAUUGGAUAUUCACAGCUUCCAAAAUUCCUGCUAACACGCACCAGUGUCCAACUGAUGAUCGUAGUACCCUCACCUUACCCUGCAUUAACGGACAGUGUGUAUCCGAAGCUGUAGUGUUGGAAAUUUAAAGCAGCUUCCUGGAGGUCAAGUCAAUUUUUAAACGUUUA
Topomyia yanbarensis is the source of this 630-nucleotide long non-coding RNA. RefSeq lists it as uncharacterized. The record is from RefSeq and is a predicted model, not a curated record. The transcript has 3 exons. Lineage: Eukaryota; Metazoa; Arthropoda; Insecta; Diptera; Culicidae.